AGGAGCGAGGUCAAAUCUGGGCUAGAUGUUGGAAGUUGUUAGUGUGCUGACGGUGUUAAAAGCUACGGAGUAUUCAAAGUUGGGGUCACCUAGGAGAAUCCUGAAUUGAGCCUGUGUUCCCAGUUCCUAGAAACCCUCAAGGUUAUUGGUUUCCUCCUCGCUUAAUAGACCAGUGGAAGAAAUCUACCUCCAGUUCUAUCUUCACAUGAGCAACUGUUUACAGUUUACAAUAUUACUCUGAAAAUCAGUUCUUUUCAAGUUUUAUCUAACACCCACCAGAAGAAACAGAAGAUUAUGAAAAUGGAAUUUGUCAAAGUUCCUCUCCCAACAAUAUGAUAUUUAAUUUUGCUAACAUUUUUUUUUGAACACUUACUAUAUUGCAGACAAUGGUCUAAGUAAAGCAUUUUAUGUGCAUCCUAUCAUGUCAUCAUCACACAGCCCUGUGAGGUAGAUACUAUUAUUAUUAACCACAUUUCACAUUCAAAAAAACUGAGGCUUAGAGAGACUAAGUAAAUUGUCCAAGGUCACACAGCCAUGAAGUGGCAGAGCUGUGGUUAAAACCUAUGUCUGUCUGAUGUUUAAGAUUUUGCUGUUAGCAUUACUUUGAAAUGACAAUAUGAGGGCAUUUUAUGUAUUUUUUUUGCCCCAAUAUGAUCUGCAGAAACUAUGUAUUUUAAGUACUACAUUUCUUUUAUUUACCAAAUUAUUGUCAGAUAAGAAACCGAAAUAAAAGUUUACAGGGUCUAGGAUUCCUCCAUAA
RNAcentral lists this long non-coding RNA (760 nucleotides) under Homo sapiens (human). Its description in RNAcentral is "SPRY4 antisense RNA 1". Lineage: Eukaryota; Metazoa; Chordata; Mammalia; Primates; Hominidae. The record is from RNAcentral.